RNAcentral lists this ribosomal RNA (1548 nucleotides) under Klebsiella pneumoniae. RNAcentral's name for it is "bacterial SSU rRNA". It matches the Rfam family "Bacterial small subunit ribosomal RNA". Lineage: Bacteria; Pseudomonadati; Pseudomonadota; Gammaproteobacteria; Enterobacterales; Enterobacteriaceae. The record is from RNAcentral.
AAAUUGAAGAGUUUGAUCAUGGCUCAGAUUGAACGCUGGCGGCAGGCCUAACACAUGCAAGUCGAGCGGUAGCACAGAGAGCUUGCUCUCGGGUGACGAGCGGCGGACGGGUGAGUAAUGUCUGGGAAACUGCCUGAUGGAGGGGAUAACUACUGGAAACGGUAGCUAAUACCGCAUAAUGUNNNNNNNNNNNNNNUGUGCUCUUCCGGCCUCAUGCCAUCAGAUGUGCCCAGAUGGGAUUAGCUAGUAGGUGGGGUAACGGCUCACCUAGGCGACGAUCCCUAGCUGGUCUGAGAGGAUGACCAGCCACACUGGAACUGAGACACGGUCCAGACUCCUACGGGAGGCAGCAGUGGGGAAUAUUGCACAAUGGGCGCAAGCCUGAUGCAGCCAUGCCGCGUGUGUGAAGAAGGCCUUCGGGUUGUAAAGCACUUUCAGCGGGGAGGAAGGCGUUAAGGUUAAUAACCUUGGCGAUUGACGUUACCCGCAGAAGAAGCACCGGCUAACUCCGUGCCAGCAGCCGCGGUAAUACGGAGGGUGCAAGCGUUAAUCGGAAUUACUGGGCGUAAAGCGCACGCAGGCGGUCUGUCAAGUCGGAUGUGAAAUCCCCGGGCUCAACCUGGGAACUGCAUUCGAAACUGGCAGGCUAGAGUCUUGUAGAGGGGGGUAGAAUUCCAGGUGUAGCGGUGAAAUGCGUAGAGAUCUGGAGGAAUACCGGUGGCGAAGGCGGCCCCCUGGACAAAGACUGACGCUCAGGUGCGAAAGCGUGGGGAGCAAACAGGAUUAGAUACCCUGGUAGUCCACGCCGUAAACGAUGUCGAUUUGGAGGUUGUGCCCUUGAGGCGUGGCUUCCGGAGCUAACGCGUUAAAUCGACCGCCUGGGGAGUACGGCCGCAAGGUUAAAACUCAAAUGAAUUGACGGGGGCCCGCACAAGCGGUGGAGCAUGUGGUUUAAUUCGAUGCAACGCGAAGAACCUUACCUGGUCUUGACAUCCACAGAACUUUCCAGAGAUGGAUUGGUGCCUUCGGGAACUGUGAGACAGGUGCUGCAUGGCUGUCGUCAGCUCGUGUUGUGAAAUGUUGGGUUAAGUCCCGCAACGAGCGCAACCCUUAUCCUUUGUUGCCAGCNGAUCGGCCGGGAACUCAAAGGAGACUGCCAGUGAUAAACUGGAGGAAGGUGGGGAUGACGUCAAGUCAUCAUGGCCCUUACGACCAGGGCUACACACGUGCUACAAUGGCAUAUACAAAGAGAAGCGACCUCGCGAGAGCAAGCGGACCUCAUAAAGUAUGUCGUAGUCCGGAUUGGAGUCUGCAACUCGACUCCAUGAAGUCGGAAUCGCUAGUAAUCGUAGAUCAGAAUGCUACGGUGAAUACGUUCCCGGGCCUUGUACACACCGCCCGUCACACCAUGGGAGUGGGUUGCAAAAGAAGUAGGUAGCUUAACCUUCGGGAGGGCGCUUACCACUUUGUGAUUCAUGACUGGGGUGAAGUCGUAACAAGGUAACCGUAGGGGAACCUGCGGUUGGAUCACCUCCUUACCUUAAAGAA